RNAcentral lists this transfer RNA (27 nucleotides) under Sceloporus horridus. RNAcentral's name for it is "partial tRNA-Met". The record is from RNAcentral. Lineage: Eukaryota; Metazoa; Chordata; Lepidosauria; Squamata; Phrynosomatidae.
AGUAAAGUCAGCUAACAAAGCUAUCGG